UACAGAGGGUGCGAGCGUUGUCCGGAAUCACUGGGCGUAAAGGGCGCGUAGGCGGUUUCUUAAGCGUGUGGUGAAAGCCCGGGGCUCAACCCCGGGUCGGCCAUGCGAACUGGGAGACUGGAGCUUGUCAGAGGCAGGCGGAAUUCCGGGUGUAGCGGUGGAAUGCGUAGAGAUCCGGAAGAACACCGGUGGCGAAGGCGGCCUGCUGGGACAGUGCUGACGCUGAUGCGCGACAGCGUGGGGAGCAAACAGG
Molecule: ribosomal RNA, 253 nt
Filed under: uncultured bacterium
Lineage: Bacteria
Description: partial 16S ribosomal RNA
Rfam family: Bacterial small subunit ribosomal RNA
Source: RNAcentral